AUGAACUGGAGCCCUCUCUUCCUCACUCUCCUUGCUCACUGCACAGGCCCUGCAGCCUCCUAUGAGCUGACUCAGGCACCUUCAGCGUCAGUGCGCCUGGGAGAGACAGUCCACAUCACCUGUGGAGGAAACAACAUUGAAAAGAAAAGUGUCCACUGGUACCAGCAGAGACCAGAAGAGGCCCCUACAACGGUCAUAUACAAUGAUAACCAGCGGCCUUCAGGGAUCCCUGACCGGUUCUCUGGGGCUAACUCGGGGAACACAGCCACCCUGACCAUCAGCAGUACCCAGACUGGGGAUGAGGGUGACUAUUAUUGUCAUGUUUGGGACAGUGGUGCUGCUCACAGUGACACAGGCAGAUGGAGAAUCUUUGUCUUCCUGUUACGUGGGAACAUCUCUCCACCUCUAAGCUUCAGUACAUCCCAGAGUCAAUGA
Elephantulus edwardii (Cape elephant shrew) is the source of this 435-nucleotide non-coding RNA. Lineage: Eukaryota; Metazoa; Chordata; Mammalia; Macroscelidea; Macroscelididae. The record is from the annotation of a RefSeq genome assembly.